UGUAAAAAUAGCGCAGCGCAGAGGGAACGGUGGGUUCCAUGUUGUGUGUGAGCGGCCGGUCACAGCUGUGUGCGAGUUCUCGAACGUCAUGCGGAUGAACCGAAAGCUGACCGGAGUCACAACGUGGAUCUAGUGAGUCCGGAUGAUUCUUCCUUUAGAUGGUGACAUCACAGAUGUCACCAUCAAAGCCGGGAGAGGCGAGAGCGCGACAACUUCCUGCACCCGCUGGAAGCUGUCGACCAAUCACAACAGAGUGGAGCCAGCUGACCAAUCAGAGCAGACUGGGCUUCAUCGGGAGGGGGGAGGGGCCUUGAAGAGACAGGAGCUAAAACCGAGAGUUUCAGACGGAGGCUGUGAAAGAGGAGCUGCAGGAAUGAACAGUCUGAGCAAACUGAUGCGUUGACUGAACAUCAGAGCAUGUAAACCGUCUCAAGUAAUAACCCAAAUUAAAAUUAUAAACCCUGAA
This is a long non-coding RNA of Scophthalmus maximus (turbot), 466 nucleotides long. RefSeq lists it as uncharacterized. Lineage: Eukaryota; Metazoa; Chordata; Actinopteri; Pleuronectiformes; Scophthalmidae. The record is from RefSeq and is a predicted model, not a curated record. The transcript has 2 exons.